AAAAAUUUAGUUAAAGCAUAUAACAUUAGCUUGUCAAGCUAAAAUUAAUAUUAAAUAAAUUAAUUUUUA
Molecule: transfer RNA, 69 nt
Filed under: Polydrusus marginatus
Lineage: Eukaryota; Metazoa; Arthropoda; Insecta; Coleoptera; Curculionidae
Description: tRNA-Asp
Rfam family: tRNA
About the family: Transfer RNA (tRNA) molecules are approximately 80 nucleotides in length.
Source: RNAcentral